GAUGAACGCUGGCGGCGUGCCUAACACAUGCAAGUCGAGCGUGAACCCUGCGAAUGAAACUUCGGUCGAUUUUGCAGGGGGAAAGCGGCGGACGGGUGAGUAACGCGUAGGUAACCUGCCCCAUACUGAGGGAUAGCCUCGGGAAACCGGGAUUAAUACCUCAUAACACCGUAUAUUCGCAUGGAUGUGCGGUCAAAGAUUUAUCGGUAUGGGAUGGGCCUGCGUCUGAUUAGCUGGUUGGUGGGGUAACGGCCUACCAAGGCGACGAUCAGUAGCCGACCUGAGAGGGUGAUCGGCCACAUUGGAACUGAGACACGGUCCAAACUCCUACGGGAGGCAGCAGUGGGGAAUAUUGCACAAUGGGCGAAAGCCUGAUGCAGCAACGCCGCGUGAGCGAAGAAGGCCUUUGGGUCGUAAAGCUCUGUCGGGUAGGAAGAUAAUGACGGUACUACCCGAGGAAGCCCCGGCUAACUACGUG
RNAcentral lists this ribosomal RNA (478 nucleotides) under uncultured bacterium. RNAcentral's name for it is "bacterial SSU rRNA". It matches the Rfam family "Bacterial small subunit ribosomal RNA", at positions 28 to 507 of the family's 1533-position model. RNAcentral also lists the same sequence under 1 other name. The record is from RNAcentral.